RNAcentral lists this ribosomal RNA (381 nucleotides) under uncultured eukaryote. RNAcentral's name for it is "partial 18S ribosomal RNA". It matches the Rfam family "Eukaryotic small subunit ribosomal RNA", at positions 592 to 976 of the family's 1831-position model. The record is from RNAcentral.
CAAUAGCGUAUAUUAAAGUUGUUGCGGUAAAAAAGCUCGUAGUUGGAUUUCUACCGAAGAUAGCCGGUCGGGUCUUCGACCUUGUAUCUGGUUUUGUCUUUGGUAUCCUCAUAGGGAACGUUUCUGCGCUUUAUUGCGUGGUGCGGUAUCUAUGACUUUUACUUUGAGGAAAUUAGAGUGUUCACGGCAGGCAAUCGCCUUGAAUAUAUUAGCAUGGAAUAAUAACAUAGGAUCUUUGUCCUAUUUUGUUGGUUUCUAGGGCUGAGAUAAUGAUUAAUAGGGAUAAUUGGGGGCAUCUGUAUCAACGCGUCAGAGGUGGAAUUCUUGGAUUGCGUUGCGACAAACUACUGCGAAAGCAUUUGCCAAGGAUGUUUUCAUUGA